This 88-nucleotide ribosomal RNA is filed under the name Nelumbo nucifera (sacred lotus). The record is from RNAcentral. Lineage: Eukaryota; Viridiplantae; Streptophyta; Magnoliopsida; Proteales; Nelumbonaceae.
GAUCCCAUCAGAACUCCGAAGUUAACUGUGCUUGGGCGAGAGUAGUACUAGGAUGGGUGACCUCCUCGGAAGUCCUCGUGUUGCACCC